CUGGUCUGAUACUGAUGCAUUUUUCAAAGUUCUGCAUUAUAUUUCACAAAGUUUUAAUAUGUAAAUUACAACAUAUAACUUAGUAAAAACUUUUCUUUGGAUUAAUUUAUCAAUUGGAUGUACCCACUAAAAAGGUGUCUGAUUGAGAUUCUAAACAUUUUUUAAAAAUCUAUAAAAAAAAACUUUUAGAAAAAUUUAACAAUAUAUAUUAUAAUACAGUUCUCAAUGUAUGUAAAAACUGAAAGUCAAUAAACCAAAUUAAACAAUACAAUUGUAUUGUUUACUUUCUUAAAUGUUUUAUCUUUAAUGAUAAUUCACUAAGUUUUAAUAUGUAAACUGCAAUGUAGGUACUUACCAAAAAUCCAAAUCCAAAGUACAUUUUAAAAUUUAGGUCCUCCAUUGUAAAAAAAACCCUCCCAUAAAAUAAUUGGUCAAUGUUGUAUUGUGUAUACUAUUCUAUACAUUUUGCCCAAAGUAUAUCUCCAUCUAUGUACAUUUUUUUUUUAUCUGAUUACUGUAUUUUUUUUUCUAUUAUCAACUAUAAAAACUAAUUAUUUGAAAUCAUAAUGUUAACUCAUUUGGUUUGUCUUUAUGAUGAAAAUACUUUAAAAUUUAAAUAAAUUUAAGUCAACCUAAAUUACACAGGUAUAACUAAAGC
Cinara cedri is the source of this 658-nucleotide non-coding RNA. The record is from the annotation of a GenBank genome assembly. Lineage: Eukaryota; Metazoa; Arthropoda; Insecta; Hemiptera; Aphididae.